GCAAAUGUUUAUGUGAUAUUUAUUUUGGAUAUAUCUGUCGCGCACAAAUAAUUAUUUUGAUAAGAAGUUGUCAUCAGUAUUUCUCUGGGUUUUUGUUUUUAAGUUUAUAUAACACAUAGAAAAACACAUUCUAUUGAUAAACGGAAGUUUUCGGCUUCUCUGGUUGAAGACAGGAACAAAAGUUUAUUUGAUUCCACAAUUUUGUUGUUGUUGUUGUUGACGGCUGUGUCAGCAUAGUUAUAUAUUUUUAAACAUCGUAGACGCUUAUUUCAUAUAAUUUUACAUCGAAGAAGGUGUUUAUGGUUAUAUCUGCAUGGUUGUACAUCGAAGAAGGUGUUUAUGGUUAUAUCUGCAUGGUUUUGCAUCGAAGAAGGUGUUUAUGGUUAUAUCUGCAUGGUUUUGCAUCGAAGAAGGUGUUUAUGGUUAUAUAUGCAUGGUUUUACAUCGAAGAAGGUGUUUAUGGUUAUAUCUGCAUGGUUUUCAUCGAAGAAGGUGUUUAUGGUUAUAUCUGCAUGGUUUUACAUCGAAGAAGGUGUUUAUGGUUAUAUCUGCAUGGUUUUACAUCGAAGAAGGUGUUUAUGGUUAUAUCUGCAUGGUUUUUGUUGUACAUAGUUUGACAUCGUAGAGGCUGACUGUAAUAUUUCUAGUCAGGCGGUGUUUUACUGUACCGGCGAAUUCGCUCGCACCUCUCUGUCUUGGCUGGACGACAAGUGAUCGUUAGACCAAUAUUUUGCAUUUUCGUCCGUUUUCAGAUCGGUUAAUAGAUAUUAUAUACAAUAAACAUAAUUUUGUUUCAGAUAUAUGAACAACAAGACAACUGUCAUAAAAUGCAUAGGAUAAGAAUUCCAAUGAAAGAUGUUCUCUAGUGUACUUCGUUGUGUCCUGCUAUCCAAAAUCGUCGCUUCGACAUCGCUGGUCUUAGGCGCCAAAUCAACCAUUGUCGUAUAACGUAGGAAGAACUCACGGAUGUUACAUACUUUUAAUAUACAAAUACAAACACACAAGUGAACGAGUGGAAUACCAAAGCUGAACUCCUGGACUGAAUAUCUGGCCCAAAAUAUAUAGUGACAGUUUACACAUAAAAUGUUAUGAAAUCUAGCCGACUUACAAAUACGUUAUCUAUCAUUUUGACAUAAGUUCAGUUUGUAUGUAUCUUGCACUAUAAUACACAUAAAUCAUGUCAUGUUCCAGAGUUCACACUAUGAAAU
This is a long non-coding RNA of Ruditapes philippinarum (Manila clam), 1208 nucleotides long. RefSeq lists it as uncharacterized. The transcript has 3 exons. Lineage: Eukaryota; Metazoa; Mollusca; Bivalvia; Venerida; Veneridae. The record is from RefSeq and is a predicted model, not a curated record.